Long non-coding RNA from Rattus norvegicus (Norway rat), 682 nucleotides. RefSeq lists it as uncharacterized. NCBI's taxonomy places the organism in Eukaryota, Metazoa, Chordata, Mammalia, Rodentia, Muridae. The record is from RefSeq and is a predicted model, not a curated record.
AGGGAGCACACCUUGCUUGGAAGUUCAUUGGCAUUGGCUUUUUUAGUGAACUGGAAAUGUGGCAGAAAUUGGAACUAUUUUGGACAGAACUAUUUCGGAAGGAAAGCGAUGGAACAAAAGAGACAGGGAGAGAAGGUGACAGCAGAGUCAGUUGCUCAGAUUUGACAAGUUUAAACUCAUCAUGGUGCCUAGAAGAUUUGCAGAAUUCAUUGAGCAGGAAGUGAAGAGCUGGAGGUAUGUUUUCCUAGAUUGACGCCUACAGAAUCCUGGCAGCUUUUGCUAUGUCACCAGAUCCCUGAGCUCCCAGGAAUAUAUGCUUGUCAACUUCCCCGCUCAGAGUUAAAUAUACACGUGAGAUGGAUUUUCCCCUUAAGUCAACUUCUCCGGUGCUGCUGUUGGGGAAGAUAUCAUAGCAAGAUCUGACAGCCUGUCUGGAAGAGGUCUGGAGUCUGGCAGCCUUCGUCACAGGUUCAUGCUUCCACCUCUGCCCUGCAGUUUCUGUGGUCGUCUGCAGUGAUGGAAAGAGGCCUGGGUCCUUACCAUUGACAGAAAUUACCACCUAAAGAGACACCAUUUCCUUAGCAAUUUUUGAGGCAUGUAAAGUUUACCGAGCUUGCUAGAGUUUGAUUGAGAACAGUUUGCUCAAACUAAACCUUUAUAAUAAAAUCUCUCUUAUGAUACU